RNAcentral lists this ribosomal RNA (356 nucleotides) under Salmonella enterica. RNAcentral describes it as "partial 23S ribosomal RNA". Lineage: Bacteria; Pseudomonadati; Pseudomonadota; Gammaproteobacteria; Enterobacterales; Enterobacteriaceae. RNAcentral also lists the same sequence under 1 other name. The record is from RNAcentral.
GGCUGUUCGCCAUUUAAAGUGGUACGCGAGCUGGGUUUAGAACGUCGUGAGACAGUUCGGUCCCUAUCUGCCGUGGGCGCUGGAGAACUGAGGGGGGCUGCUCCUAGUACGAGAGGACCGGAGUGGACGCAUCACUGGUGUUCGGGUUGUCAUGCCAAUGGCACUGCCCGGUAGCUAAAUGCGGAAGAGAUAAGUGCUGAAAGCAUCUAAGCACGAAACUUGCCCCGAGAUGAGUUCUCCCUGAGACUUWARGUCUCCUGAAGGAACGUUGAAGACGACGACGUUGAUAGGCCGGGUGUGUAAGCGCAGCGAUGCGUUGAGCUAACCGGUACUAAUGAACCGUGAGGCUUAACCUU